Molecule: long non-coding RNA, 218 nt
Filed under: Gossypium raimondii (Peruvian cotton)
Lineage: Eukaryota; Viridiplantae; Streptophyta; Magnoliopsida; Malvales; Malvaceae
Description: long non-coding RNA (GRAI_LNC000484)
Source: RNAcentral
AAACAAAGCGGGGGACUAUAUCGCAACGCACAAAUUAUAUGGGGGCUGAGUGGGAAAUACUCCCUCCCUUCCAAAGCGUUUUAUGCGGAUCAAAUCGAAACAAAAAUAAAAUAAAAGAUUAAAGUUAAAAAGGAAAUAAAAAUAAAAAGGGUAUUAAAUUGAAAUACCGCGCAAAACAAGAAGGACUCGUCGCGCAAUUACCCCUCCCCCUACCAAAC